AAUAAAGAUCGUUUGCCUAAAACAUUUUUCUCAAUGAACCCAAAUCUUCCUCUUGCUCUCGUGCUUCUCUCUAUCUCCCUCUUCACGUUGUGCGCUGCCCACAACUUCACUCACCAACAAGUGUGAGGUCCCCACUUGAGGAGGGAUCCACCUAACAAAUCUCUUUAUCAUGACUCAACAGGGACUAUCAAUUCUCUUUCCAACAACCAUGUUGCAAGCCUAAACAUUUUUCCAUUACAUAAGACUCCAGAACAAGUGAUCCAUAUUCAAUUGCAACAUCAACUCCUUCAAUAGUGUACCUCGUCAAAGACUUUCUUACUUUGGUGAAAUUUCUCUGUACAAAAGGCGUGACAAUUUUCUUGGCCUUCAUCACGAGUUGGAUCAUCACUAUUAACUCUAUCAUAUCUUUCAACCGAUGAUCUUAUAUAAUCUCAACAUCCGAUAAGUUUCUUCAUAUCACAAUCAUAAAACCUGUAAUCAGCUCCAUCUAAGUCAUAGCAAAGAAACAUACAAUGUUGACUCUUCACAUAUGUUUUGCAUCCGAAAACACAUAAGUGGUCAUAAGAAAUAUUCUUACGCAACCAAAUCUUAUCUCGUACUUCAUAUUGCAAGGACACGCUUGGUGAAAGAUUCAAGACAUGCACAAUUGUGCUCAAUGCUUCACCCUAAAACGAUUUUGGAAGAUUUGUCUCGAACAAAAAGCAUUUAACCCUUUCCACCAAUGUUAUAUUAAUGCUCUCAACAACACCAUUUAAACAUAGAGACAUCUGAUGUCUAAUCCAAUUCUCUCUACAAUAAGCAUAAAUUUUUGUCAAAAGUCUCCUGUGCUUAUGCGCUUCAGCUUCUCAGUUUCACGUCAAAUUAAGACCUUAAACUUCUUGAAGAUGCCCAAAACAUCAAUUUUACUCUUCAAGGUUUAAACCCAAGUCUUUUUUUGAAUGAUCAUCAACAAAAGUCAGAAAAUAUGAACUUCUGCCAAUUAUUAUUGUCUUCAAAGGACCGCAUAAAGGACAAUGCACCAAAUAAAAAAUUUAUGGUCUUCUAGGUGAGUGAAUCCUAAAAGAAACUUUGCUCUUAUUUUUAACAAGACAGUGAUCUCUUCAUGUGUGGAUUUCUCAUGUCAAACAACAUAUUUAGAUUCCUUAGUUUAACCAUGUCUUUCUCACUCAUGUGACAUAACCUCUUAUGCCACAAAUCAACUUCUCAGUUGAUUCAACGACAUGUUUAUCUUUAUUAAUUUUUGCAUGUGACAAUAGAGGUUAGAACAUUUCAUACCUCUAGCAACACUACUAGAAAAAGCAAAAUUAGCGAGGGAAAUUAGUGACGGAAAAAAUGAAAUUCCUCACAAAUUCCUUGGUCGCAAAAUUUAGUGAUGGAAUUAGAGAGGGAUUUUACGUUUUCCCUCACUAAUUUUUGUUUUUUUAGUAGUGCAACGAUCAUAGAUCCCUUGGAAAGUUUCCAUGAGUACUGUGAGAACAAUCUGUCAUAACCCUCAUCACGCAGUUUAGCCACUGAAAGCAAAUUCAAUCGGAUGUCUGGAACAUAAUUCACAUCCUUGAGAGUUAACUUUGUACCAUUAGACAUCUUCCAUUUAACUUCCCCAAGACCAACAGACUUUAACUCACGUUCAUAAGCCAACUUCACAUCAGCAAAUUAACCUAAAG
This 1664-nucleotide long non-coding RNA is filed under the name Medicago truncatula (barrel medic). Its description in RNAcentral is "long non-coding RNA (MTRU_LNC003846)". Lineage: Eukaryota; Viridiplantae; Streptophyta; Magnoliopsida; Fabales; Fabaceae. The record is from RNAcentral.